GGAGCAGUGUCCGAGUGGCUGAAGGGACCGCACUGGAAAUGCGGUGUGCCCCAAAAGGGUACCGAGGGUUCGAAUCCCUCCUGCUCCG
Molecule: transfer RNA, 88 nt
Filed under: Phycisphaerae bacterium
Lineage: Bacteria; Pseudomonadati; Planctomycetota; Phycisphaerae
Description: tRNA-Ser
Rfam family: tRNA
About the family: Transfer RNA (tRNA) molecules are approximately 80 nucleotides in length. Their secondary structure includes four short double-helical elements and three loops (D, anti-codon, and T loops). Further hydrogen bonds mediate the characteristic L-shaped molecular structure. tRNAs have two regions of fundamental functional importance: the anti-codon, which is responsible for specific mRNA codon recognition, and the 3' end, to which the tRNAs corresponding amino acid is attached (by aminoacyl-tRNA synthetases). tRNAs cope with the degeneracy of the genetic code in two manners: having more than one tRNA (with a specific anti-codon) for a particular amino acid; and 'wobble' base-pairing, i.e. permitting non-standard base-pairing at the 3rd anti-codon position.
Source: RNAcentral